GAUGAACGCUAGCUACAGGCUUAACACAUGCAAGUCGCGGGGCAGCAUUUUCUUAGCUUGCUAAGGAAGAUGGCGACCGGCGCACGGGUGAGUAACGCGUAUCCAACCUUCCCAUGUCCACGGGAUAGCCCGUCGAAAGGCGGAUUAAUACCGUAUGAGGUCACAUGCGGGCAUCUAAGUGUGACGAAAGGUUUGGCGGACAUGGAUGGGGAUGCGUCCGAUUAGCUAGUUGGCGGGGUAACGGCCCACCAAGGCGACGAUCGGUAGGGGUUCUGAGAGGAAGGUCCCCCCACAUUGGAACUGAGACACGGUCCAAACUCCUACGGGAGGCAGCAGUGAGGAAUAUUGGUCAAUGGACGUAAGUCUGAACCAGCCAAGUAGCGUGCAGGAUGACGGCCCUAUGGGUUGUAAACUGCUUUUUAAUGCGGGGAUAAAGUGUGGGACGUGUCCCAUAUUGCAGGUACUGCAUGAAUAAGGACCGGCUAAUUCCGUG
This 493-nucleotide ribosomal RNA is filed under the name uncultured bacterium. RNAcentral describes it as "bacterial SSU rRNA". It matches the Rfam family "Bacterial small subunit ribosomal RNA", at positions 28 to 507 of the family's 1533-position model. The record is from RNAcentral.